AAAUUGAAGAGUUUGAUCAUGGCUCAGAUUGAACGCUGGCGGCAGGCCUAACACAUGCAAGUCGAGCGGAAACGAGUUGUCUGAACCUUCGGGGAACGAUAACGGCGUCGAGCGGCGGACGGGUGAGUAAUGCCUAGGAAAUUGCCCUGAUGUGGGGGAUAACCAUUGGAAACGAUGGCUAAUACCGCAUGAUGCCUACGGGCCAAAGAGGGGGACCUUCGGGCCUCUCGCGUCAGGAUAUGCCUAGGUGGGAUUAGCUAGUUGGUGAGGUAAGGGCUCACCAAGGCGACGAUCCCUAGCUGGUCUGAGAGGAUGAUCAGCCACACUGGAACUGAGACACGGUCCAGACUCCUACGGGAGGCAGCAGUGGGGAAUAUUGCACAAUGGGCGCAAGCCUGAUGCAGCCAUGCCGCGUGUGUGAAGAAGGCCUUCGGGUUGUAAAGCACUUUCAGUCGUGAGGAAGGCGGUGUAGUUAAUAGCUGCAUCGUUUGACGUUAGCGACAGAAGAAGCACCGGCUAACUCCGUGCCAGCAGCCGCGGUAAUACGGAGGGUGCGAGCGUUAAUCGGAAUUACUGGGCGUAAAGCGCAUGCAGGUGGUUUGUUAAGUCAGAUGUGAAAGCCCGGGGCUCAACCUCGGAAUUGCAUUUGAAACUGGCAGACUAGAGUACUGUAGAGGGGGGGUAGAAUUUCAGGUGUAGCGGUGAAAUGCGUAGAGAUCUGAAGGAAUACCGGUGGCGAAGGCGGCCCCCUGGACAGAUACUGACACUCAGAUGCGAAAGCGUGGGGAGCAAACAGGAUUAGAUACCCUGGUAGUCCACGCCGUAAACGAUGUCUACUUGGAGGUUGUGGCCUUGAGCCGUGGCUUUCGGAGCUAACGCGUUAAGUAGACCGCCUGGGGAGUACGGUCGCAAGAUUAAAACUCAAAUGAAUUGACGGGGGGCCCGCACAAGCGGUGGAGCAUGUGGUUUAAUUCGAUGCAACGCGAAGAACCUUACCUACUCUUGACAUCCAGAGAACUUUCCAGAGAUGGAUUGGUGCCUUCGGGAACUCUGAGACAGGUGCUGCAUGGCUGUCGUCAGCUCGUGUUGUGAAAUGUUGGGUUAAGUCCCGCAACGAGCGCAACCCUUAUCCUUGUUUGCCAGCGAGUAAUGUCGGGAACUCCAGGGAGACUGCCGGUGAUAAACCGGAGGAAGGUGGGGACGACGUCAAGUCAUCAUGGCCCUUACGAGUAGGGCUACACACGUGCUACAAUGGCGCAUACAGAGGGCAGCCAACUUGCGAAAGUGAGCGAAUCCCAAAAAGUGCGUCGUAGUCCGGAUUGGAGUCUGCAACUCGACUCCAUGAAGUCGGAAUCGCUAGUAAUCGUGGAUCAGAAUGCCACGGUGAAUACGUUCCCGGGCCUUGUACACACCGCCCGUCACACCAUGGGAGUGGGCUGCAAAAGAAGUAGGUAGUUUAACCUUCGGGGGGGACGCUUACCACUUUGUGGUUCAUGACUGGGGUGAAGUCGUAACAAGGUAGCGCUAGGGGAACCUGGCGCUGGAUCACCUCCUUA
Molecule: ribosomal RNA, 1556 nt
Filed under: Vibrio parahaemolyticus
Lineage: Bacteria; Pseudomonadati; Pseudomonadota; Gammaproteobacteria; Vibrionales; Vibrionaceae
Description: bacterial SSU rRNA
Rfam family: Bacterial small subunit ribosomal RNA
Source: RNAcentral